RNAcentral lists this long non-coding RNA (1944 nucleotides) under Canis lupus familiaris (dog). RNAcentral describes it as "lncRNA (ENSCAFG00030006667.1)". The record is from RNAcentral. Lineage: Eukaryota; Metazoa; Chordata; Mammalia; Carnivora; Canidae.
CCCGGGCGGGCUCAGGGGGCCCCGGGCGGCCUCGGGGGCCCUCGGGGGGUCCCGGCGUCCGGAGGGAAUCCUGAGGCUCUGCGGCCCCGGGGGCCUGGGAGCGGCGGGGGUCGGGGAGGCCAGGGGCUGCCAAGGGCCUCGGGGCGGGGGGCCCGUAACGGCGAGGAGGGGUCUCGGGGACCGCGGGGGCUCUGGGCCCGCCCCCCGCCCCCCUCCCCCCGGGCCCCUCACCUGCGGGCGCCUCACCUGCGGGCCCGGCUCCCGCCGCCGCCUCCCGCUCAGCGGUGCUCCGCGCUCCGGGGCUCCGGGCGGCCGCGCGCUCCCCGGCUGGGCGGGGCCGGCGGCGGCGAGGGCUGCGCGCGCAGCCCGGGGGGCGGGGCGGGGGCGGGGCCCCGGGGCGGGAGCCACCGCCUCCCGGUGAGGAGCCGCCGCGCCGCCGCCGAGCCGUCCCCGCCCGCCGCCGCCGCCGCGCCGAGGUCCCGCCCGAGCCCAACGGCCCCGCGGACGCACAAGCCCCGCCCCGUGGCCCCGCCCCCGGCUCUCCGGCGCAGACGCGGUGGGGGACGCGCGGAGCGCUCGCGCCUUCGAACCCGCGGGUCUGCGCGUCCUCGCUGCUCGCGUCGGGAAAAUGGGCGCAGGCGCACUCUGCGGGGACCCGGGGAGCGACUCCGUGCGCCCGGAAGCGCCCGACGCUGGGGGGCCUGUGCGUGUGCGCGCGCCCCCCGCGGUCCCGCCUCCCCGCCGCGCCCGGACCCCGGGGCCCCCCUCCGCGCCCCGACCCCGGAACCCCCCUCCGCGCCCGGACCCCGGGGCCCCACCUCCGCGCCAGGACCCCGAAACCCCCCUCCACACCCGGACCCCGGAACCCCUCUCCGCGCCCUGACCCGGGGCCCCACCUCCGCGCCAGGACCCGGGGGCCCCCCUCCACACCCGGACCCUGAAACCCCCCUCUGCACCCUAACCCCCGGGGCCCCCCUCCGCGCCCUGACCUCUGGGGCCCCCCUCCGCGUCCUGACCCCUGGGCCCCGCUCCACACCCGGACCCCGGAACCCCUCUCCGCGCCCUGACCCCGGGGCCCCCCUCCACACCCGGACCCCGAAACCCCCCUCCGCGCCCGGACCCCCGGACCCACCUCCGCGCCAUUACCCCGGGGCCCCCCUCCGCACCCUGACCCCCGGGGCCCCCCUCCGCUCCCUGACCCGGGGCCCCACCUACGCGCCAGUACCCCGGGGCCCCCCUCCACACCCGGACCCCGGAACCCCUCUCCGCGCCCUGACCCGGGGCCCCACCUCCGCGCCAGGACCCGGGGGCCCCCCUCCACACCCGGACCCUGAAACCCCCCUCUGCACCCUAACCCCCGGGGCCCCCCUCCGCGCCCUGACCUCUGGGGCCCCCCUCCGCGUCCUGACCCCUGGGCCCCGCUCCACACCCGGACCCCGGAACCCCUCUCCGCGCCCUGACCCCGGGGCCCCCCUCCACACCCGGACCCCGAAACCCCCCUCCGCGCCCGGACCCCGGGACCCACCUCCGCGCCAUUACCCCGGGGCCCCCCUCCGCACCCUGACCCCCGGGGCCCCCCUCCGCUCCCUGACCCGGGGCCCCACCUACGCGCCAGUACCCCGGGGCCCCCCUCCACACCCGGACCCCGGAACCCACCUCCGCGCCCUGACCCGGGGCCCCACCUCCGCGCCAGGACCCCGAAACCCCCCUCCACACCCGGACCCCGAAACCCCCCUCCGCGCCCUGACCCCCGGGGCCCCACCUCCACACCCGGACCCCGGAACACCUCUCCGCGCCCUGACCCGGGGCCCCACCUCCGCGCCAGGACCCCGGGGCCCCCCUCCGCGCCCUGACCUCCGGAACCCCGCUCCGCGCCCGGGCCCCACCUCCGCGCCCAGACCCCCCCUCCGCGCCAGGACCCCGGAACCCCCCUCCGCACCCUGA